Molecule: ribosomal RNA, 437 nt
Filed under: uncultured Clostridium sp.
Lineage: Bacteria; Bacillati; Bacillota; Clostridia; Eubacteriales; Clostridiaceae
Description: partial 16S ribosomal RNA
Rfam family: Bacterial small subunit ribosomal RNA
Source: RNAcentral
ACGGGAGGCAGCAGUGGGGAAUAUUGGGCAAUGGGCGAAAGCCUGACCCAGCAACGCCGCGUGAGUGAAGAAGGCCUUCGGGUUGUAAAACUCUUUUACCAGGGACGAAACAAAUGACGGUACCUGGAGAAAAAGCAACGGCUAACUACGUGCCAGCAGCCGCGGUAAUACGUAGGUUGCAAGCGUUGUCCGGAUUUACUGGGUGUAAAGGGCGUGUAGGCGGAGAUGCAAGUCAGAUGUGAAAUCCCGGGGCUCAACCCCGGAACUGCAUUUGAAACUGUAUCCCUUGAGUAUCGGAGAGGCAAGCGGAAUUCCUAGUGUAGCGGUGAAAUGCGUAGAUAUUAGGAGGAACACCAGUGGCGAAGGCGGCUUGCUGGACUGUUACUGACACUGAGGCACGAAAGCGUGGGGAGCAAACAGGAUGAGAUACCCUGGUA